RNAcentral lists this ribosomal RNA (253 nucleotides) under uncultured bacterium. RNAcentral describes it as "partial 16S ribosomal RNA". It matches the Rfam family "Bacterial small subunit ribosomal RNA", at positions 524 to 776 of the family's 1533-position model. The record is from RNAcentral.
UACGUAGGGUGCAAGCGUUGUCCGGAAUUAUUGGGCGUAAAGAGCUCGUAGGCGGUCUGUUGCGUCGGCUGUGAAAACCUAAGGCUCAACCUUGGGCUUGCAGUGGGUACGGGCAGACUAGAGUGCGGUAGGGGUGACUGGAAUUCCUGGUGUAGCGGUGGAAUGCGCAGAUAUCAGGAGGAACACCGAUGGCGAAGGCAGGUCACUGGGCCGCAACUGACGCUGAGGAGCGAAAGCCAGGGGAGCAAACGGG